AAAAUGCAAUUAGACGAGAAUUAGAAACAAAGGAAUGAACUUCAAAAGAAGUAUGCAACCAUAGAAGCCAAGGCAGCUAGUGCAGCAGCAGGAGGAACACCCAUAGCCACACCCGCACUUUCCAUUGG
This is a long non-coding RNA of Hibiscus syriacus, 128 nucleotides long. RefSeq lists it as uncharacterized. The transcript is spliced from 3 exons. NCBI's taxonomy places the organism in Eukaryota, Viridiplantae, Streptophyta, Magnoliopsida, Malvales, Malvaceae. The record is from RefSeq and is a predicted model, not a curated record.